AACGAACGCUGGCGGCAGGCUUAACACAUGCAAGUCGAGCGCCCCGCAAGGGGAGCGGCAGACGGGUGAGUAACGCGUGGGAACGUACCCUUUGGUUCGGAACAACUCCGGGAAACUGGAGCUAAUACCGGAUAAGCCCUAACGGGGAAAGAUUUAUCGCCGAAAGAUCGGCCCGCGUCUGAUUAGCUAGUUGGUGAGGUAACGGCUCACCAAGGCGACGAUCAGUAGCUGGUCUGAGAGGAUGAUCAGCCACACUGGGACUGAGACACGGCCCAGACUCCUACGGGAGGCAGCAGUGGGGAAUAUUGGACAAUGGGCGCAAGCCUGAUCCGGCCAUGCCGCGUGAGUGAUGAAGGCCUUAGGGUUGUAAAGCUCUUUUGUCCGGGAAGAUAAUGACUGUACCGGAAGAAUAAGCCCCGGCUAACUUCGUG
RNAcentral lists this ribosomal RNA (431 nucleotides) under uncultured bacterium. Its description in RNAcentral is "partial 16S ribosomal RNA". It matches the Rfam family "Bacterial small subunit ribosomal RNA", at positions 29 to 507 of the family's 1533-position model. The record is from RNAcentral.